This 366-nucleotide ribosomal RNA is filed under the name uncultured organism. RNAcentral's name for it is "bacterial SSU rRNA". It matches the Rfam family "Bacterial small subunit ribosomal RNA", at positions 526 to 896 of the family's 1533-position model. The record is from RNAcentral.
CGGAGGAUCCAAGCGUUAUCCGGAAUCAUUGGGUUUAAAGGGUCCGUAGGCGGUUUAGUAAGUCAGUGGUGAAAGCCCAUCGCUCAACGGUGGAACGGCCAUUGAUACUGCUGAACUUGAAUUAUUAGGAAGUAACUAGAAUAUGUAGUGUAGCGGUGAAAUGCUUAGAGAUUACAUGGAAUACCAAUUGCGAAGGCAGGUUACUACUAAUGGAUUGACGCUGAUGGACGAAAGCGUGGGUAGCGAACAGGAUUAGAUACCCUGGUAGUCCACGCCGUAAACGAUGGAUACUAGCUGUUGGGAGCAAUCUCAGUGGCUAAGCGAAAGUGAUAAGUAUCCCACCUGGGGAGUACGUUCGCAAGAAUG